GCCUGCAGCCAUUUAACCUCAAGCUGCAAUCCAGAAACCUUGCAGACUAUGUGGGGAUGGGCUGGGUUAGUACUUGGAUGGGAGGCCACCAAAGAAAACCCAAUAUUGUGAGUC
RNAcentral lists this ribosomal RNA (114 nucleotides) under Chrysemys picta bellii (western painted turtle). The record is from RNAcentral. Lineage: Eukaryota; Metazoa; Chordata; Testudines; Emydidae.